This 536-nucleotide long non-coding RNA is filed under the name Salmo salar (Atlantic salmon). RNAcentral describes it as "lncRNA (ENSSSAG00000099169.1, ENSSSAG00020058780.1, ENSSSAG00075044010.1)". The record is from RNAcentral. Lineage: Eukaryota; Metazoa; Chordata; Actinopteri; Salmoniformes; Salmonidae.
UAACCACUGUUGGAGCUAACUAGUGCUCUCAAAUCGCAUCCUGAUGUCUAGAGCAGAUGGGAGUUGUAUUCAUAACAUCGCUAACUUAGCUAGCUGACACGUUUUGAGAGAGAGAAAAAAAAAAGUACCCUCUCAGCUCUCUUGCCUGUCACUUUACCUAGUGGCAAUCCCCAUCGAAACCAGAUGCAGUUCGACUACAAUAAGGUCAGAGGUGACAUUGUGGUGAGUGUGUUUGAGGAGGACAUCAGGGACAGUGAGCUGCUGAGGACAGUGUGUAAAGGGAGCAUCGCUGGUCUACCACAAUGUGUCCCUCAUAGAUGUCAUCGAGAAGGUGGACUACAGCGAGAUCCACGGAGUCAACGUCAAAGGAACCCAGCUCCUUCUGUAGACGUACGUCUGGGAAAAUGUGGUGUCCAAAGAAAGAAAGUGAAUAAAGGCUAAAUAAUUGCCCAAGGCCCUGCCUGUAAGACUGUUCCUAUAGCUGACCAUCCCCUGGUCCAUGCUUAUAAUCAUUAUUACAGUGGUCUGUAAAUGUG